This 460-nucleotide ribosomal RNA is filed under the name uncultured bacterium. Its description in RNAcentral is "SSU rRNA". It matches the Rfam family "Bacterial small subunit ribosomal RNA", at positions 26 to 518 of the family's 1533-position model. The record is from RNAcentral.
AGAAUCAACGCUGGCGGCGUGCCUAACACAUGCAAGUCGCACGAGAAAGGGGAGCAAUCCCUGAGUAAAGUGGCGCACGGGUGAGUAACACGUGAAUCAUCUACCUCCGAGUGGGGAAUAACCUAGAGAAAUCUGGGCUAAUACCGCAUAACACUUACGAGUCAAAGCAGCAAUGCGCUUGGAGAGGAGUUCGCGGCCGAUUAGCUAGUUGGCGGGGUAAUGGCCCACCAAGGCGAUGAUCGGUAUCCGGCCUGAGAGGGCGCACGGACACACUGGAACUGAAACACGGUCCAGACUCCUACGGGAGGCAGCAGUGGGGAAUUUUGCGCAAUGGGGGAAACCCUGACGCAGCAACGCCGCGUGGAGGAUGAAGUAUCUUGGUACGUAAACUCCUUUCGAUGGGGAAGAUAAUGACGGUACCCAUAGAAGAAGCCCCGGCUAACUUCGCGCCAGCAGCCGC